GUCAGAUAUGCCACUGAAUCAAAGCCCAAGCAUACAGGAAAAGCUGGCAAUACCAACAGAAGACUCCAUAAUAUGGUACACCUUAAAGGAACACUAUAGGGUCAGGAACACAAACCUGUAUUACAGACCCUAUAUAGUGUUAAAACCACCAUCUAGCCCCCUGGCCUGCCCUUGCCCCCCUAAAUAUAGCAAAUUUUUACUCUUAUUCCAGUCUGCUGACGGCUCUGCCUCUAAUCUGCUUGCUUGGCUGACAUCAUCAUAAGUGUUCUGAGUCAAUCACAACGCUUUGUCAUAGGAAAGCAAUGGAUUGGAUGAUAUUGUCAAGGAGGCAGAUAAG
This is a non-coding RNA of Pelobates cultripes (western spadefoot toad), 337 nucleotides long. The record is from the annotation of a GenBank genome assembly. Lineage: Eukaryota; Metazoa; Chordata; Amphibia; Anura; Pelobatidae.